GCCAUCCUAGCUCAGCUGGUAGAGCGCAUGGGGGUUUAACCGUGUGGUCGUGGGUGGGUUCGAUUCCUACAGAAGGGCG
Non-coding RNA from Thalictrum thalictroides, 79 nucleotides. NCBI's taxonomy places the organism in Eukaryota, Viridiplantae, Streptophyta, Magnoliopsida, Ranunculales, Ranunculaceae. The record is from the annotation of a GenBank genome assembly.